UUCUAGUGUUGAAAUUGUCCCAAGAGAUGAGUCCUUCUUUUCUGAAAUUAACAGGUACAUAUUGUUUUGACCUGUUUCUGUAUCUAUGUAUACGAAACCCUAUUUUAGGACAUAGCCAGGCAUCUGGAACUUUUCCUUUUUCAUAGACUUCAAGAUUUUCACCAUGAUUUUAUUUCUUCUCCAUUUUGAUCAUCUGUUUUUUAUUACUAUUGCAGUCUUUACAAACAUUUUAUUCGCUGUGUGCAGAUGAUCCACAUUUGAGAAAUGUCUUAUUAAUCCUGCCUGCUCUAAUGGCUCAUUAAAAUCCAUGUCUCCCUACAGCCCUUGGUCACCAGCAUUUCUGUGAAAAUCUUAUGUCACACUGAGGAGACUUGAAAAAAAAUAAUCUUCCUUUCUCUUCAACUAGUGCUAAAGAUAUAUAGGUAUGAUAUAUUAUACCUAUGUGUGGGUAGUUAGGGUCUGGCGGCCGGAAGAUGUCGCGCUGUACGGAAAGGUGGAGCCCCUCCCUUGAUGGGCAGUAGCGUGUGGUCUGUGAUGUAAGCAAGCGGAAGUGACGUUAUGGGCCUCAGCUAUAUAACCCUAUGUGACUUGACAAUAAACACCAUUUGCCAUCCACCACAUUGGUGUCUGUGAGCCAAUGGACCGAGCGGCCUGGGGUUGGUCGCCGUGCCAUUCCUGAACCAGGUCACCACUGCCCCCUGAAGGCAACACCUAUGGCAAAUUAUAGGGCUGAGGGAAAGAUAGCAAGGCCUGAGGUGCUGCACAGUCAGAGAGCUAUUACUGGAAUGAAGAAAGAGAAAGCAGUUACCAGGAGGAGAGAAUGACUAUGUUUUCAGUUUCCCUGGAAUAUGCUAUGACCAUGGUGCUAUGAUCUGCAGAAAAACACAAUUCAUCAUGUUCCUGAUGAAAGAUGGAGACCAAAUGGAUGGGGACCAAAGGGAUGGAUCACUAAAGCAUUUCUCUUCAGUUUUUAGUGUUGGCAGAGGUAAGUAGAGAGAUGACUAGAGGAAGAGCCCUGAUAAUAGUGGGAAUCUAGCAGAAAAGGCUGCAUAAAAACAAAGACAUA
RNAcentral lists this long non-coding RNA (1066 nucleotides) under Anas platyrhynchos platyrhynchos (common mallard). RNAcentral's name for it is "lncRNA (ENSAPLG00000023933.1)". The record is from RNAcentral. Lineage: Eukaryota; Metazoa; Chordata; Aves; Anseriformes; Anatidae.